Long non-coding RNA from Episyrphus balteatus (marmalade hoverfly), 479 nucleotides. RefSeq lists it as uncharacterized. The record is from RefSeq and is a predicted model, not a curated record. The transcript has 2 exons. NCBI's taxonomy places the organism in Eukaryota, Metazoa, Arthropoda, Insecta, Diptera, Syrphidae.
UUUUUUCUUAAUUAGAUAAUUCAAAUUCAUUUGCGUCAGAGGUCGUAAAAUAAAACAAUCAAACAUGGUAGCUGUAACCAAUCCAUCAUCCAAUAAGGAUUAAACAAAAUAGUGCUAACAGUGUUACCAUUUUAUGACCUUGAAAUGAACAAAAAAGUAGUAUAAGAGUCUUUAAGGACGAUUCAAAGAGAUUUAUUUUUAAUGUCCAAGGCAAUGAAAGGAAAUACCAAUUAAUUUACAUUCAUACAAACUAUGUCCGAAAUUUAUUUGAAGGAGAACCCAAGGAGGUCACCAAACAUCCGUAAUCACUUGAACCAAUUUCUAUGCCAAAAAUUUCUUCCUUUCAUCCAGAAGACUCAACAAUUUCCUUCGAACUUGAGAUUGUACCAUUCUUCACUCAAAUUAAGCGGAAAGAAAUUAGAGAAGAUAGAUACGAAAAAAAAAAAGAAAAAUUGGAGACAAAUCAAAUCAAGGAACAA